CUUUGUGUUCUUUGAGUUAUCUUUCGUAAGUUGUUUGGCAUUCUGUCUGCAAUCUUUAAUAGUUAAACUUUAUCAUUGAGUUUACUUGAUGAUAUACUUGCUAUUGAAUUUUGUUGAUGGUGAAUCCUAUGUUUACCAACUAUAAUGAUCAUGGUGGUUCCUACACUAUUAUACUGGUUUAUCGGAUGAUAACUUGCUUAGAAUAUUAUUAUGUUCUAAUCUAAGAUAUAAUCAUUGAUAAUUAAGUCUCUAAGAUAUCAUUGUCUCUGACUUUGAUAUUGUCCAUCUAUUAAUCUUUGAGUUUAGGCCAGUAUAGGCAGACUAGCUUCGGCACUUUGUGUGCAUGUUGAAAUCUCUAGUCAUGGGGUAGCUACUGUCGACUGGUCACAUAACCCGCCUCUUUGUCGAUGUUCCUUGUUCCGUUAAAAGGGCGUGACCGUGUAAACAACUCUAACUGCCUGUUUACAGUAGUCUAUCUAAACCUUACCGACGGGUUUGGUUUCUUUGCUUAGGAGGGUUGGGGCCUCUGGCUUCUCUCUCUAUGUUCCUGCGGGCAGGGGCAUAUCACACUUUUGUAAGCUGGGUGACUCCCAGAGCAGCAAGGGUGGCUGACUCCGUUGGUCAUUUCCUUGUCGGCGACGGCCGGAAGGUGUCUGAGCUGGUAGCGCAUCUGCGUUAGACAAAGAGGUUGCCUCCUAACUCAUUUAAGUUGGUGCAUUUCUCACAUAGUGUGAGUACCGUGAACUUUUUCUGGAGUUGUUUCCUUGGCGGUAUUCUAGACUCGAGUAUGCAUCGACGAGGACGUCGAUCUUCCCUAGGGGGGGAGAGUGUCGCACAUAUGACUUCGGGUAUCGAAAGUUACCUGUUGACUAGUCCUUACGGACACUCUUACCUUACUGCCACGAUGGCAAGAGGUCGGUAUUGCUGGGCCCGUUAUCAGUCUCUGCCUAAGCUAGUUGAGAAACUGGUCAUCACAUGUGCACUUAGACCGGAAGGGCACUAAGGAAGGAAAUCCUAAGUUGUCAUUUAGUCAAGCAGACUUGACACGGUGAUGAGAAACUCAUGAUGUUGGCUUGCACUUGCUAGUGUUAGGACCCCCGCGAUAUUGAGCUUGGUCCCUCAAUAUUGCUAGAUGAUAGCUUACCGUGUCUGCCAAACACCCUCGCUAUCAUGCCCUUUGUGUAGUCUCGUUUCGGUCCCAAAUGCUAUUUAUGGGAAGUGUCCGGAUUUGCUCAUUUUGCAUAUCUACGGAAUGGAGAGAUCGUCCUGAACNNNNNNNNNNNNNNNNNNNNNNNNNNNNNNNNNNNNNNNNNNNNNNNNNNNNNNNNNNNNNNNNNNNNNNNNNNNNNNNNNNNNNNNNNNNNNNNNNNNNNNNNNNNNNNNNNNNNNNNNNNNNNNNNNNNNNNNNNNNNNNNNNNNNNNNNNNNNNNNNNNNNNNNNNNNNNNNNNNNNNNNNNNNNNNNNNNNNNNNNNNNNNNNNNNNNNNNNNNNNNNNNNNNNNNNNNNNNNNNNNNNNNNNNNNNNNNNNNNNNNNNNNNNNNNNNNNNNNNNNNNNNNNNNNNNNNNNNNNNNNNNNNNNNNNNNNNNNNNNNNNNNNNNNNNNNNNNNNNNNNNNNNNNNNNNNNNNNNNNNNNNNNNNNNNNNNNNNNNNNNNNNNNNNNNNNNNNNNNNNNNNNNNNNNNNNNNNNNNNNNNNNNNNNGCUCCUGUCCCUUCGCUCCUUGGGCUUUAUGCUCGGGAGUUGCUCCGUGGUUCGGUUCCGUCACUCUUUGGCUCCAUGCUUGGGAGUUUGGCACCGUUCCUUCGUUUAGUGGCCCAAGGCCCUGAACCUCAGGUUCCUAUGGACACGUGGCAUGGACACGUGGCAUGUGACACGUGGCAUCUGUCACAUGGCACAAAGAGGGUUUAGGUUCCGCUUUGUGGUGUUAUCGUAUGGUAAAUCACCAUAGGAUAAAGGGUCAAAACCACGUGCGCUACAAUCUCGAAGUCCAUCUCGGGUCCAUCUCGGACACCAUCUCGGGUCUAUCUUAGACUCCAUCUCAGACUCCAUCUCGUGUCCAUCUCAGACUCCAUCUCUCUCAAACUCCUUCUUGGACUCAAUUUCGGACUCCAUCUCAAACUCCUUCUUGGACUUCAUCUGGGACACUUCCACGUGUUAUGUGUUGGUCCUUUUGUAUCGCUUUUUUAGAGGCUCACUUAUUGCUCACUUUGUGCUUGUUCUUCAAGCACUUCAUUGGGAGUUCCACUCCCUCUCUCGAUUUUUCGAAUCAAAGCCUUUAGUUUAUAUGUGUUACUUCAUUUGGAGUCUGCCUCAGCCACUACCAUGUGGCACCUUUUCGGCUCCUCUUUUGGGGCCUAGGGAUUUUAUGUCUCACACCAUUGCUAUAAAGAAUGAGGACUAGCUCUGCCGAACACAAUUGUAAAUGGUAACAUAUGGCAACAGACUAAGCAAUAAAAGAUAAACUCAAUUUUGUAUUAUCUAACAUAGAGAGAACAAUAGAAAACUUCUUAUUAUAAAAACAAGCUUGGAAAGUAAAAGCUAGAUGAAUUAGUGUCGAGUGAAGAUAGUAAUCCUGAAAGAAGGAUAGAGGGGUCAUUAACUUAAUCGUGUAAGAACCUUUCAUUACUCAUACGACUCCUCAUUUCCUAGAAAGAUCUCUAUAUUAAGACCUUCCAUUGCAAUAGCACUAAUAUGACAUUAUUUACACCAAGACCUCCACCCAUAAAAUAGAGGACAUCAAUCUAAAAAAUACUGACAACAUUGAUAUAUAUGGCUAACCUUAUCACAUGCCCAUCACUGAACAUCAUGACCAUGACCACACCCUAUCCUUAAACAUGGGUUGCAAUAGUAUUAACCUCCACUGGAACAAAAUCCUUUUCCAUAAGAAGUGGAGUUGAAGUAUAUGUAACGACAAGUGAAAGAGAUGGUGUUUCAUAACAUUGUGUCAAUUAAAGAGUGUUAUCAAGGUGGUGGGAGCAAGUGCAUGUAUAAGGUCUACAAGAUUUUAAUGAAAUAUUAGCCAUAACAUUUCUGACUUGAUUCACUUUAAUAUAUUUGGUUUUUGCACAAAGCAAGAGGUUCUGAAAGCAAAUACAAAACUACAUUACUGACUUAUACAGCUUCUGAAGAAGAUGAUGCAAAUGUUAAAUUGCAUCAUCAUAAUCGUCAACAUAUUCAAAUGCAUGCUUAAAAAUAUUUAAGAGAAGGCUCCAAUCCUUAUAAGUGACUAUACUCAAACUAUUGUACCACGACAACACCAUCUCUAUAAGGAACUUACACAAGUGCUAAGCAUUAUUCCAAAAAUGAUAAGUGGUAAUCAUUGUAAAAUGAUCGAACCAAUAGUAUAUAUCAUUCCGAGGAUUCCUAAAGAAGAACUCUAAUUGGAUGUAAGGGUUGGCAACAAAAGUGUACCACACACUAUGAAUGCCACUAUCAAAUGAGUUUGAUUGGUCAUUUAUAACUAUAUAGCAUUGAGUAUUUUCACCAAUUGCUACUCUAAAGUCAGAGGAAGAGGAAGCUACUACUCUACCAUGAGAAAAACUGAAAAACUAUUAAAAAAAUAAAAAGAGAUUUAAACAAUAUAAAAAUUAGAUCUAAAUCAAAAGCACAAAUCAAAACAUUUAUCAUGGACAAUCAAAGUUUCCCCUUAUCAUUACUAAUGUAAAUGUAUAUAUGGAGUAUAGAAAUUUUUAUAUUUGAUUUUCUACAGUAAGAACUCUCUAAAAAUAAAAAAAACUGACAUAUCUGGACAAUAAUAAUAUACAAACCCAUGACAAAGCCUGAAAACCCUAACUUAUAUACAAAAGUGAGUGGUUUAGAUUGAAACAAGUUCAAUAAUUACUAAAAUCCUAUUAUAUUAAUAAUAGUAUAUGGCAUCAUAGUCUUACACUUAGAUCUCACAACCUAAAUUUUGCCAUGUUUAAAUUGAUGUAUAUUACAACUUUAUUAAGUUAUGUUCUUUCUUUUCCUCUUUUCAUGAGUCAUGCAAACUUUAAUUAUAUUUUGGUUGGUAAUGAAUAUGCCUAGAACAUAUUCUAGGAUAUUCUACCAUCUAAAAUUAUUAUUCACUUAGAUUGAUUUUGCAUUUAUAAAUUAUAAACUUUCCUAAAUACUUUUUAGUAUAUACUAGUUUAUUCUACCAUCUUAUGCAAUAAUAUUAACCUUAUAUUUAUAAAUUACAAAUAUAUUUAUAUUUAUAAACUUCAUAUUGGUAAAUUACAUUAGUAAAAAAUAAUAAACAGGAAUAAAAAGCCACACAUUGUUGUGGAAAAUAUGCAGAAAGUUAAGUUUUUAAUCUUAUAAAUUACUAUAAUUUAUAUUAAUAAUUUAUUUUCUAAUUAUUUUUCCAAAUUAUAUAUUUUGAGUUACCAAUAUGACUUGACACAACUAAUGUUCCAUUAUCUUCAAGUGUUAAUAAAGCAAAAACUAUGCAUUUUAAACAAUAAUUAUCAUUUUCCCAUAUAAUAUUAUCAUCUUUAUUUAUAAGUAAACGACCACUAUAUUGAAGGUGUAAAGAACAAGAAGCAUCAAAUUUUUCUGAAUUUGUAGACCAUAAACUUUGUUCAUGAAGAAUACUUUCAAUUAUUAAAUUACAAUUGAUAAGAGUUGCUCUAUAAUGAUUAUUUGAUGAUACUAAAGCAUUUCCAUUAAUUAUAUAUGUACCAAUUCUAUGUUUAUAUCCACUUAUUAAUUGUGUUCUAUAUGCCCAACAUUGUGAAGUAUCAAAAUCACCAUUUAAAAUAUCUCUAGGUGGAUUAUUAUCAUCAGGUAAACCUUUUGGAUAUUCUAAAGAAGGUAUUGGAUCAUUAGGAUUUCUUCUACUUGGUCCAGUAGCAAAAUAAUCAAUUAUAAAGUGUCUAUAAACAGUAAUAAUUUCUUGUAAACCAUAAAUACGUGCAUGAUAUUCUACAAGUCGUAAUAUUUGAGUAAAUGUUUCUUGUAAAUAUCGUGCAGUAAAGGCAUAGCCUUCAGGAAGUGAUGUACAAUCAAAACCCCUUAAAGCAUCACGAAAUAUAUAAAUUCGAAUAAUAACUUGUUGAUAAGCAACACUUAUUGAUUCUUGAAUAAAAUAUCCAUUUGGCCCAGGAUUGAUUGGCAUAUUGAUUCUUCCUAUUAAAUUUCUAAAUUCUCUUAUAAUUCUACCGAUGUGUCUAUUGCCAAAAUGGUAUAAACCUCCAAUCACUCUUGUUUCUGGUGGUUGUGCAUAAUAGCUUGCAAUAAAAGAAAAUAAAAUGACUAAUAAUAAAAUUUUAAAGCUCAUUAUUACAAAUAAUAAAUAAGUAAUUAAACUAUAUAUCUAUAUAUAUAAAGUUUUAGUUGUUUUUUUUCAAAUUUUUAAUUAUUAGCUUUAAAUCAUAUAUAUUAUUAAAGAUGAGUACCAUUUGUUUCAUGACAUUUGUACACAAAAUAUUUAAAUGAAAAAGUUCACUAUUGUUUAUAUGUUUUAAAAUUAUUUUUAAGUAUAUUAUUGUAAUGUUAAUAAGGUGUUAGUCUGACACUUGUCAAGUUCUUUGUCAAAGAGUGGCUCUUCGGCAUGCUGGGGGAUUUUAAUCUGCUGAAUUUUGUGGGCUAUUGCGACGAGCUCAAUGCUGGGUAUGCAACCAAUGGCUAUCUGCAAGCCAAAGGCGUGGGAGCUUGCGCCGUGACGUUCACUGUUGGGGGUCUUAGUGUCAUCAACGCCAUAGCAGACUCCUACAGCGAGAAUUUGCUGGUGAUUUGCAUUGUUGGAGGCCCCAAUUCAAAUUUUUUCAUCACACGAUUGCAAGUUACUUGUGCUCAGGUAACAAAUUUUUUUCUCUCAUUUUCUUCUUUCUGUGUGGAACAUCCACUGGUCUUGCAAUUGAAAACUUGUUUAUUUUGUGGAGCAUGGAAUCUCUCAUCAAUGAUUUUGAUGGUUUUUGCAUGGAAUAUUUGUGUCUUGUUUGGAAACCCUUGUGCUGUCAUAACACAAGCAUUGUUUUCAUAGCUUUAUGGGAACUAAGGCAAAGCUUUUAUAGGAACUUGGCUCUUUUGUGGAACUUUUUUCCUGGUCUGGCUAGGUUACAGCAUAGGAUGUUGGUACCAUGAUUCGUUAUGGCCAAAGGAGCAUCAUAUUCCUGAUUAACAACCGUGGCUUACACAAUUGAAGUGGAGAUCCACGACAGACAUGAUUAAAAAAACUGGGAUUACACUGGAGUGGUGAAUGCUUUCCACAACAAUGAGCAUCACGAGAAAGGAGCUGCUGGAAUGGGGGCCGCUGCUGUUACCACAUCUAAAGUUCCCUAGCUAUUGACACUAUUCACCAAAAGCAAUAUAAAUCCUCUUAAAGCUAUUUUGUCUUCUUAAGGGGAUUGUGGUUCAACACUAUAAUAGGUUUUGACUUGAUGGUGCUAGUGGAAGGAGACUAGCUAUACAAUUUUUCAUUGGAGAAUAAGAGUGCAUUUCAAGGUGUUCUUGGAAUAUUUCACAAUAGGUGAUGAUUAAAUCUAAAUUUCUCAUUAUAAUAAUUUCAUCAUAGUUGUGUAUAUUAUGUAGAUUAACAACAUAGGCUACAAUUUGUUAUGCUAUACAAAAGCAAUGGCAUAAGUUCACAUAUAACAAGAGCCCAUAAGCAUUAUGCUAUAUAAACUCCUCUUUUGUGGAUAUGGAUGUUGACGAAGACUAUUUUUUUCUAUACUAGAAUUUUAUAGUGGUAUUAUACAAUUUCUUCUUUGACUUAUGAAAUUUAAUUUUUUAUUAGACUUAUGUUAUUUAGUAUCUUCUUGGACUCAAGAUGUGUCUUAACUUUCGAAUAGAAUUGUUAGUUUGUCCCAAAUCAAUCAUUUCAACAUUGACUUCUAUUAACUUGAGCUCAACUCGUGAGUUGAGCUCAAAACCUCUAGCAAAUAACCUUUAUCAUUUUCUCAAAAGCUAGUCCAUUGGAUGAAGCCUUUUUUUUCUCAAGAGUGUGAGCUUGUUCAAAGUGUUCAACUAGUAUGUUAUUGCCUUCUGUGAGAACAAUCAUAAGAGAGAGAGAGAUUUUCUUCCUCCGCUACUUUGUCAUAUUCUUCAUUUGGUGCUGUGGCAUUUGCAUGCUCUCUUGUGAUUGAUUUUUGGCACUCUCAUUCAUGUCAAGGAGAUUUCUUGAACAAAUACCCUUGAUUAGAACUUGUUGAUGGUAUCAAAUAGAUCCUAGUCCAAAACUGGCAGAGUGAACUUCUUGAAAAUACCCAAGUAGAGGGUGAAGUAAUUGGCAUUUCCAAUCUGGUGAUUAUAAUCCUUGAUUACACUAGUUGUCUAGUGAACUGGAGCUGGUUGACACUUCUCACAAGCUGAGGCUCUACCUUGCAAGAUACUCUUCCUGCUUCAAAUCAAUCAAAGCAUGAUUCUCAACUAAAGUCCAAUUGUAUCCUCUUUUCCACCUUGACACUAGAUCAUCUUCAAAUAGCCCCGCUUCCUUGGUUGUUGAUCCCUCAUCACUCACCUAUAGUUUCUCAACUUGAUGAAAAUGCAUUCUAGGAAUACCUAGAUUGGAAAUGAGGUUGCACGUGCUAUGCUUCAUCCUCAUAUGGCCUGAUGCUCCCGAAUUGCAAUACAAAAAGUGAGUGUGAGAAUCAUGAUUAACACUAGGAAUCACAUAAGUAGAGAGCAUGGCAAAACUAGCAUUAGAUCUGGUGAUCAAGCUCUCAUGAUCAAGCAGCUCUCCUGACUCAUUCCAGCCCUAAUGGAAAGUUACAUAAAUAUAAUGGUAAGUACAUAAAUAUAUAAAUAUACAUAAAAAGAUACAUAAAUUAAAUGGUAAUUAUUGAUACUUAAAGGUCUAUGUGAAGCAAAAGCUCCUUAAAUUUCACCCUUAACUUGCAAAAAGGGCCUAAUUGGCCUAAGUAUGGCCCAUGUGUAUGAAUGAAGGCUUUAGAGACUUAUUUAAUUAAUUUUUGGUCUGCUUAAGAUAGUGGAUAUACCUAGAAGAUGCUUAAAUAUUCUAGAAUAUUUUAAUAUUUAAUGAUUUUUAUUCGUAUUUAUAUUUAUAAACAUAUUUAUCAUUUAUCAACUUUACUAAAAAUUUAUAGUCUAAUGGUUGAUAUGCAAUAAGAUUAAUUUUGUGUUUAUAAAUUAUAAAUAUGCUUAUAAUUACUGAUCAAUUGGAUUAAUAAAUACUAAAUAAGAAUACUACUAUAAGCAUUGCUACUGCAACAUGAAGUAAAUUAUUUAAUUUGUAAGUAAUAAAUUAUAUAAAGUUUCAUAUUACGUCUUUAUAUAUAAAUUUUACAUUUAAAAACAAUAAAUCGUUGGCCAUGCUGCAAACAUGUAAGAAUGUACUCGAAUAUCUUUAGCAUAUCUUCUUAGGCUCAAGCUAAGGGCAAGUGCAGAAGAGAGGGCAAUUUGGCUAGAGAUAAAGCAUUUAGAGUGAGGAGGGGGGGCUUGGCUAAAGGACCAGCUGGAGGGUAAGGAGCUAGUAUGGAUAAAACUGUAGAAAAUAAAUUAGGGAGCACAAAUAUGAAUUCUCUAUGAUGCUACAGAAAUAGUUUGGAAAGCAUUCAAAGGGUAGUAGAGCAGAGCAUGUUUAUUUUUCCCAGCUCAUACUCAAUCAUAAAAUCAAGGGCCUAUAGCUACUCAAUCCAUCAGUAUUGCUUCUUGUUAAGAUUUUGCUGCUUUAAAAGAAACUAAGUGGUAAAUCCUCAAUGUGAAAUGUGCUAGAACAAGGUAGCGGCACCACUUUCCCACUGCAUGCAUGACCUCUCUUCUCUUCUUUCUCUUGCCUUGGUUGCUCUUGAGCUCAUCCAACCUGUCAAUUGCAGCUCUAGAGGACUUCUUGCAGCAGGAUUGCCACCCACCAACUCACAGCACCAAGAAGAUGCUAUGCACAAAUCCUUCAUUGAGUCCUUCCAUACUUCUAUCUUCUUAGCUGUGAUAGGAAUGACUUCUAUCUCUUUCCCAUGCACUACUUUACUCUCAUACGUGCUCGGGAACACCACUAGCUGGUAUGGAUGAAACUAUAGAAAAUAAAUUAUGGAGCACAUAUAUGAAAUCUUUAUGAUGCUAUAGAAAUAGUUGGGAAAGCAUUCAAAGGGUACUAGAGAACAUACAAUUCUCUAUAAUGCUAUGGAAAACAGUUGGGAAAGCAUUUGAAAGGUAGCCUUGUAUGAUCUGCUAACUUGGUUCUAGAAUGGACAAGCCUUGCACCACUGAGUCAUUUGGCUUCUCAAACUUAUGGGACAAUGCAUCAGAGAGCAUGUUCAUUUUUCCCAGCUUGUACUCGAUUAUAAAAUCAAGGGCCUAUAGCUACUUAAUCCGUCAGUAUUGCUUCUUAUUAAGAUUUUGCUGCUUUAAAAGAAACUAAGUGGUAAAUCCUCAAUAUGGAAUGUCCUAGAACAAGGUAGCGGCACCACUUUCCCAUUGCAUGCAUGAUCUCUCUUCUCUUCUUUCUCUUGCCUUGGCUGCUCUUGAGCUCAUCCAACCUGUCAAUUGCAGCUCUAGAGGACUUCUUGCAGCAGGAUUGCCACCCACCAACUCACAGCACUAAGAAGAUGCUAUGCACAGAUCCUUCAUUGAAUCCUUCCAUACUCCUAUCUUCUUAGCUGUGAUAGGAAUGACUUCUAUCUCUUUCCCAUGCACUACUUUAUUCUCAUAUGCGCUUGGGAACACCACUAGUCUGCAACUGUUUGCAAUGCAUACCAAGAUUCUCAAACCCAACUUGCCUAAGAAGGUGAUGAACUUUUUCUCUCACAAGAACUUGCUCUUGCCACUCUAACUCACUAGAGAACUCUUUUAGGACUUCCAAAAUGCUUAGAAUCACUAUGUUUCCACAGCCAAUCACAAAUAGCUCUAUAAUUCCCUCCUUGCAACUCUAGAAAGAUGGGAUGAGCUCAGAAUCCUCUCCAAACACUCAGUUCUACUACAAGCUUGGGAACACCACUAAUCUGUAGCCAUUUGCAAAUUAUAAAGAGAUUCUUCUCAAAAAACGCUUUCUUCUUUCUAAAAAAUAUGGACCAAAGGGUUAUAGUUGUCCUUAACCUAACCUCCAUCACUCCAGAUGAGGCUAAGAUUUUUAUGAUGUUUAUAAUGCAUCCAUCUCCCAGAAUCUUGGAUUGUUGUCUUGAACUUCUGCCACCUUUAUUGCUUUGCUAGUGAUCAUCAUAAACCCAUCCAAGUUCCCUAUAUUGCUUCGCUCCUGAUCCUCCCACUGAAAUCCCAAAGAUUCCUUAAAUCUCACCACUUAAGAUACUCAUCUGCUAUGUGAAUCAAACCACAUUUAACUAUUUCCAUCCAAGAUUUUGCAUCUUUAUUAUGCCUGCAUUUCUUCGACCCCUGUCAUCAUCAAACCACACUUAACUAUUUCCAUCCAAGAUUUUGCAUCCUUAUUAUGACUGCAUUUCUUCAACCCUUACUGUCCAUGUUUACUAUGUGGAUCAAACCACACUCAACUGUUUCCAUCCAGAUUUUGCAUCCUUAUUAUGCCUGCAUUUCUUUGACCUUGUUUUCGAUAUUUCUUGCUAUCACAACUUCCUCAACAUCUUUUGGCUAUUUUUCAGCUGCCAGGACUUCCUCCUCUGUUAAUGAUGCCACUAAGAAGCCUUGGUCUAGAGAAUCUCAAGUCUCCUUGACCUCAUUACCCUUGUUGCUUACUCCUUUUGCAUGAACCUCCUCUUAACAAGGUUUCUUGAUUCCUACCCCACCUUGUGAUCCCUGUAAUGGACUCACCUUAGUUCCAUAUGGUCUACCUAGAAGAGUAAGUCCUUUCACAGAGAAUCUUGUUGGAAGAAGGACCCAGGAAUAUGGAGGCUUCAGCCUUGCCCUAGUCAUAUCUUACCACAUCCUGUCACUGGCAGCUCCUGAUCCCCACAAGACUUUUGACUUUGAAAGGCAAAUUUAGCCAUGUUCUACCAAGCUUUUACUCCAUAAACACUUGUAAUUCCUUGUUUGCCUUCCUGAUGCUUGAUGUCAUGAAUUUUGCCAUGAAUAACCUUUUUCAUGCAUUUUCAUCUCUAGGAAACACUGCCUCCUACCAUUCUUUAGCCAUCUUGGCCAUUUCCAUAGCCAUGUUUUCUUCAUGAAUGGCCAUCUCUUCUUUCAGCAUCUCAUCUCCAAGUUUGUUGGUGUCUUCCACCAUCAUCUCCACCUCCUGGAUUCUUGAAUCCAUUUUCUUGAGCUCCUAUAUCACGCAAGCCCCACAAGCAUAUGCCAUCUCGAGCUUCUUUGUUGUCCUCUAAUUGAAGGUGGUAAAGAAUUUACUACCUCAUAAGCACCUCCUAGAUACUUUAGCUUUGCUUCAUAAAGAUUCUUUGUCUCUUGGGCAUGCUUUUAGAUUCCAUGUGCCAGUGCAAUGUGAGUUCCCUGGAUGGUGCUGGCAAUGUGCUAUGGCAGGAGGAGGUCUGCGGCAAGUUUUGGGGCGGAUUGAGCAGCCCAAUAUGCUGAGCUUCAUGGCAGCCAUGAGCGCCAUAACAGGGCUAGUGAUGUGCAAGGCGGGGAGAUUGAUCCAUGAAAGUAUUGUCAGGGUCGAAUUGCUCAAGAGAGGCAAGUGGAUCCAUUUGCAGCCCCACUGCCUCGUAUCAAAUAUGGUGGUGAAAAUUCUGCUCAAUAUGUAUGCCAAAUGUGGACAGGUACAAAGGCAUCGCUAUGCUUGCAACUAAUCAUCCUCAAGAUCUCAAUGAAGCUAUGCACAGGCGGGUCACUUUUCUAUUUAGUUGUGUUAGCGAGUUUCAUCCGCCAGAACACCGGGGAAUUUGGAAGAUAUCAUAUGACAAAUUAUAUUUAUCAAAAUAGCUUUUAUUAAAGUGUGUUAACAGAUACAAAAGUAGUUCUUUACUUCAAGAGACAGUGCCAGUUUCCGAGGAAGACAUCAUCGAAGGCAGGUGCGUGGCAGCUUUAGAUUUGUGUUUUAGUUUGUGUUACUAAUACCGGAAUCCACAUACGAAGUCGUUCAAUUUGUCCAAAGGUAAAUCACAUAGCGUUUUUUCAAAGCACUUUGAGCUUAAGUUGAUUCCAGUGCAGGCGCUCACAUUUUGAUGGGCUAAGCAAGCGAUUCAAUGAGGUUGUGUGUUCUUUUUACUGUCGUCCACCUUGCUGAGAAACUUUCUUCAGGCUGCCUUACGCUCUGGUGAUCGGACCAAAGGAUCUAGUGCCUGAAGCUGAAAAGAAACACCUCUGUCAUCUAAAUGCCUUUUCAACUCUUUCUUUUGUUGCAGAAAGUGACGGCAGUCGCAGCUUGAUUAGUUGUCCGGUUUUGACGUGGUAAUAUAGGCUGUUAAGGGUAACACUUGAGCUAAGUGUUGGUACAGCACGGUUUUUUGAAGGAAGAAAAUGGGAGCUGAGCGUUCUAAGCCCGAGUGUCCACAAGGCUGUCAACGAUUUGGGGAUCACUUCUUUUUGAACACUGUUAUCCAAUGUCCACACACAAGAUGAAAUCCUCAUAUAUAUAUAUAUAUAUAUAUAUUAUGUCAGUGCUACUCACUCUCGUCUCUGCGCUCUCUUUUAUGUUGCAGGCGAUUAGCACCUUGAGGCGAAAGAGAGUCCAGGUCGCGACCAAGUUUGGCAGGGAAUCCGAUGUGAUCCAGCUGAAUCAUCUGGGAGACGAAAUCCUGUGAAGUCCACACCCUAUAUAAUUCCAUAGGGCCAGGGAUAAUGCAAGACUGGAAUAGGGAUUAAUGGGUCCGCCGCGCCAUGGAUCUGGAAAAGCGUCAGGCCUGCAGCUCCGGAGAUCCAGACCGCCCGGCGAUGAGCAGCGCCUUGUUCCUCAGGAGAAAGCCGCCGCAUCUUCAGGGCGGAGAAAGCGGAAAGCGGCUGAAGAAUCAGCGGCCGCAAGAGAAAAGAAAAGGUUGCAAUCUAUAGUAAUCCAAAUGGUCCACGAGAAAUCUCCUGGCAAGAUUAUGGACUUGGCCAAGAAGAUGCUCGAAGGUACGGUUUGUUUUUCAUUCCCAACUUCAAGAUAGUUCUCACGAUACAAACAAAAUUUAACAGAUCCAAAACCAACGCCAACGCCAGAGACUUCUGAAGAGACUGAAGAUGAUCCGGGAAUCGUUGAGAGAGCAUUUCAAGGGGAGUAUCAGACUGUGGGGGGAGUAGACAACGUUGAUCUCUUGCGUCAGAAGAUUGAAGAAACAGGAACAUCCUGGGUUGCAAAGAAUCGGAUAGCACCUGUCGUUACUCUAGUGCAGUCGAGUGGCUGGGGAAAGUCGAGGACUAUCUGCGAGCUUGCAAGUCGAGGUGUGUUCGUGGUUUACUGCUCCUUUGCAUCUGCCACCACUACUUACCCGCCAAGGUCUGCCAUUGCGGACUUCUUCUACACAAGCGCCGUCAGGUUGCUCAGCUCGGGUUCUCGGCUUGUGUCAGAGAGCAGGUUUAUGCUCUUCUGCAUGCACUACUUCUCGUCGUGCAUCGAUGUCGCCGUGGACAAGCAGUUGGCGGCAGAGGACUUCCUGCAGGAACUAAUGCUUGGAGAGGAAUUCUGGCGUCUAGUGCAGGCCAAGAUUGAGAGUCGACAAAAACAGUGGGAACGCCGCUAUCCUGCACUUGAAAAGGUACUGCUGGAGGAGCCUAGUAGAGCGACCAAUGUCUGGGGCGCAUGGGAAGAUCGGGUACAUCGGCGAAUGCGGAAUACCGACAAACUGAAGCAGUUACCGGAUCCUCCCAAAGGAAAACUCAAGGUUUUGUUUGUCAUGGAUGAAGCUGGAUGGUUUGGCAGGUGUGAUGAUCAUCGAGCUUUUGCUGCAUUUGAUCCUGCAAGAAGGGCUGCCAGGCUGUUUCCAGGGACUGGAGAGGUCGUUGCCUUAUAUACAGACACCAACGAUUUUGCUGGGAGCAAUGUUGCACCUCCAUGUAGGCCGCACAGCAGCGACCGAGUAGCUGCACAUGGAAUGGCAGUAUCACAUCCAGCGUACUGCUUUUUCCCGGCACACUCCCCAUCAGACACAGGAACAGGUAGCCUUCCGCUUGCCAAAGUGGAAAAUCUUGGUCGUCUGGUCGCUUAUGGUCGGCCGCUCUGGCAAGCACUGUUAAAGGCUAACGGAGAUCCUCAGGAGGUAUUAACUCUGGCUGUCAACAAGCUCCUUGGCGGCGCGAAUUCGCUCAGCAAAUUUGUGGACCAAGGUUUUAUGUUGGAAGAGGCUCCUUUGGCCAUACUUGGCUGCAGGGUGUGCCUCGACAUCAACCCUCAGGCCAGAGUUGUCGCCGGCUUGGUUGCGAGGCACCUGCUUAGCGUGGUGUCUAUCUCUGACGACCGGGAGCAUGUUUGGACGGAUUGGGCCGUCGAGCCAGUGGUUGCAGCGGCUGCAGCAAUGGCUUUGCGUGCGGGGCGAAAGCGGACAGGGUGGCAAUACUGUCUCGAAAAACUUGAGGACGGGCUGAUGCGUGGCUGGGUUGAUCGAGGUUACCGGGGCGAGCUUGUUGCACGAGUGCUGCUAUUACUCGCAGUGGACAGUCUGCAGAAAGAUGCAUGGAGGUGCUUCACUUUUGACGAGCUAUGCCGUGGCCUUUGCGGCACGUCGCUGUCGGAUCUCAGAAGAGCAGAGCUGGGAGUGGAAGACGAGGAGAAGGGCCUUAAAAAUGUUGGUGACGCCAAGUUUCUUUGCUUGCAGUUCAGGAAAACUGACAUUCCACUGAAGGAGCUCACAGCAGAGAAUCUGCUUGCAUUUGGAAAGGCGGGUGUUGGCAUUAUUUGCAGUGGAGGCAUAGACAUUAUCAUCGUAGGCUUUUUCGGUGGUACGUUCAGCUUGGAGACGAUGACCGCCAUUCUGGUGAAAGUGAAGAGGACGAAGACGCUAGGCGACUUGGAUUUGGCAUAUGCUAAAUGUAGCCCGGAGUUUUCUGGGAUGGUGGCUCUACUCGAGGUACCAUACGUGAGCUUGCUCGUGAAUGUUGCUGACAGUUCCAGUGACGAACUUGGAAACUCAGAACGACAAAGCGUCAGUUUCAAAACUGGGAAACUCGUUAAAGCGGCAUUAAUGAAGAAGAUGCCUGCAAAUGUUUCGAUGGAAGUGGCACUCCAGGAAACACACCCAAAUUGCGAAGGUGUUGAGCUAUGGGGAAAGGAGAAAGGAAUGUUGUCCAGGAGCAAAAGACGUUCCUUACGGAAUGUCGAGGCAUGGAAACGAUAUUUUACUCGGGUUGAUGACGAUCUCCAACACAUCGUGGCUAUUAAAGGUGCGUUUUGUGUUGUUUUGUUGACAGUCACAUUGGUUUUUUUCGCAGGCUUGCAGGCAUUCUCAUCCAGGGACCAAGUGAAACCCCUGGUUGACAUGUCUCUGAAAUCCGCUCCAGGGAUGAGGCGGUUAGAGGAGAGGAGUCAGAAGAUAUGUGCAGAGAUGAUGUUUAGCCUUGUCGGAAAGAGCAAACUGCGAAAGGAAAGGAAGUCACUACUCUGGUAAGGAGUGCUUUGCAUCUAUAUUUCUCUUGACGAUAUUAUUUGUGCAGUGGCUGUCACAGUAUAUACAGCUCCAAAUUCUGGAAUGUCGCCGGCUUCCAUCGCUGUAAACUUUUUCAAAAGGGCGCAAGAAGAUCUUUUAUUUGACUAAUAUAAAAGUUUCUUCUGGCCAUGGUCGUCCAUGACAAACUUGAUCUCCAGUGCACCACAGCAGUGUGCCUAGAACUCACGUUCUACCGAUACAACAUCGAAUGGAAGCUCCUCCGAAGAGGCUAAGCUAUACGUCUUCAAUUUCGUUUUCUUUCGUUUCUCGACUAACAAAAGAUCUCUUGAGACUAGAUUUUAAAUCAAAAUGUAAGAUAAGAUGGACAUAAGAUGAAUGAGCACAGGCUCUUUAGUUUUAUUUUCUGGAUCUUAUUACACGCUGAAGGUUGGUUGUUUGUAGACAUGUGUAAAUAACCUGGUUAAACAUUUGUAUGUUUGCCGUCGCGAGUGGAGUUCAAAAAAAUCACCUCAUGGUGUGGUGCUUAUUUACUACACCAUUAAAAAGUUCGCCCGCUUCGUCCAAAACGAUCUAUGGUUGUAGAAUUAGUGAAAAAAAAAGAAAGAAAAGCGACCCAGAGAUGCAUGAAAAUGUUACAGGCCCCUUGACCUCACCAAUGGAAGAAAAUACGUAAGCAUUUCGGUAAGGAGAGAGGAAGAAUCUGUGAAGUAAACUCUAGGCGAGACGCAAAGCACGAAGAACACUUGAGAAAGUUCUAGGAGAUCGCCUGCCCUAGCUAAAUCAAAGAGGGAAGAACUCAGAUUCGCCUUUUCUCAGCCAAAUCGUCGCAAGCUCUCAGUGAUGUCAACGUAUCAGCCAUCGCUUGAUGCGAAGACCACGAUCAUCAAACUCACAACAAGACUUGGAUUGCGCUGAUUUUCUGUCGAAUCAUCACCGUUCCUGGGCAAGAACAAGGGCACUUCCACGAGGGAGAAAACCAAACUCGCUCCUGCCCAUACCUCCUCGCCAUCAAAAUCAUCUUUGCUGCGAGAUCGCGUCACAAAAAAGGCAAAACAGGAGGCACCAAUCGAUCAUCCCACGCCGCAAGAACAGGGCAUCAGACUUAAACUAAUGAGCGUAAAGGAGAGCCCUACCAGGGACGGCCGAGAUUAAAUCACUGCUCCAACGGCCACGAUCUCUUAUGGCGUUUAGCCCAGAUUAACAAAGUUGAGAAGGUUUACCAGCAACGCAGUCAAUGGCGCUGACUGGAAAUUGAAAUUUGACUGUCCAGUCAAAUAAAUAGUCUGCGAGGAUCCGGAGCGUGAUCACGAAAAUGGCUCGUGGAAAUCUCUCCUCGCUGCCGUCACUGCUGCUUAUUCUCAUUUCUUCCUUGAUGAUAUUCUCAUCCCGCGCUGCCGAUCCCGAUCCAGCGCAGGAUUACUGCGUCGCAAACGUCGAGCUCCCGCUGCGAGUGAAUGGCUUCACUUGCAAGCCCGAGGUCACUCCGCUCGAUUUCGUCUCCUAUCUCCUGCGAGAGCCCCCGAAUCCCACCGCCCUGGAGAACAAUCGACUGGGUUCCAUCGUCACGCAGGUGAACGUCCAGAGUUUCCCGGGGCUCCACACCCAGGGCCUCUCGAUCCAGCGCUUCACGUACGCGCCCGGAGGCGUGAUUCCUCCCCACGUCCAUCCCCGGUCCUCGGAGCUGCUCUACGUCCUCCAGGGAACGGUCGUGGCGGGGUUUGUGACCACGGACAACCGGCUGUUCCAGGCGACGCUGGAGCCUGGCGACCUCUUCAUCUAUCCCAGAGCUCUCAUCCACUUCUCGGUGAACACGGGCGAGACGCCGGCGCUGGCGAUCGCGAGCUUCAACAGCGCCAAUCCGGGCACGGCGCUGCUGCCCAACGCGCUCUUCGCGUCCGUGCCCGUGCUCCCGGCCGCGGUGCUCGCCAAGACGUUUGCGUUGAGCCAGAGGGUCAUGGAGAGCUUGCGGCUCGCAUUGAGGAGCAUUCUAACCUAGCUAGUAGCAGUAGCAGUAGUGAUCUAUCGAUUCUCUGUCGCGAUUAUCUAUAUCCAUCCUCCCAUCGAUCGAUCGAUCCAUUCGUGCUUUGAAUUUAAAUUUGAAAGGUCUUUUCCUAAUAGAAUACCCUAUAAAAUCUUGCAAACAACUUUAAAUUGAGGUUUAGAAAAGGCUGGCGGAUAGGUCGCGCUUCUUCGAAAGAUGGCUGCCCAAGCUUCUCUCCCUCGCCAAUGUUUUGUCUCGCAGGACAAUCCGUGUGAUCAGGGAAUAUCUAUCCUCAUCAGAGGACGUCGAAGAUGACAUAGUCCACAUCGAAGUGACGAACAACGAGGGAGCGUUGGAGGGCACUGUUCAAGUCAGUCGCUGACAAGGCGUUUGAGGUGCUUGAGGCGGCAAUGGCGCGUGAGCGUGAGCGUGAGGCGGAGGCGGCAGCAAUAAUCAGUAAGUUCCUCUUCUUGCUUGUGUAUUUCGGUCUCAUGUCGAUUCUUCCGCGUGAGCAAAGCUCGUACUUGGACUUGGAAAAUGCGCAUCAGAAUGAUGGGCGGAUUGUGACAGUCCAGCACGCCAUCUCUGGGAGCACGAAGCGAUACUCAGUGGGGCCGGUUGCUGAAAUGUUUGCAAGGAACGUCCAAAAGCUCCUCACGAACCUACGGGCCGACAUCGAGCGCCACCCUAACCGCUGGCAAAUCCGCCAGUGCGUUCGGGAGCCGGAUGACUCCUGCAAUGAUCUCGGCAAGGUCUACCAGCAUGCAGCACGACUGGUAGUCGGCCACUGUACCACGCAAAAUGUUGACAUACACAACUUCACAAAGUGCUGCCAGUUCCAGAGGAACAGACUAAGCAAGAUCAGCGGCAGGCGACAGCACCUUACUUGACUUGGCUAUUGGCAUCGUCCAUCCGGCCAUGGUGGUAUCGACUAAUGCUUACGAGUGGUGCGACAUCUACGUGGAGUUCAUAAACGACGAAUCCAAGCUUGCUGAGGGGUGUGGCCAGGUUCUGGACAGGGCGGAGAAGCGCCGGAAAGAUGCUUGCGCAAAGAAGAAGGUGGCGUUGGGUGGUGUGUCUACAGGCAAAGAUCUAUUACCUAUGGUCGUAUUCACAGACGCUGGAGCCUUCCCACUCAUACAAGGAGAAGUAUGUCGUGCGGUCUGAUUCAGGCGAGAUAUGGGAGCGAGAGCUCGUCCACACGUACAUGGACUUCCUCUUCCGCGGGGGCUGCUAUUUGGUUCGGUUGGAUGGCAGCAAGCAGCAAGUGGUGCUCAAGCGAGGCCCCAUGCAGUCGGUCAAGUGUGCAGCUGAAGGAUUUGGUCUUCCAAUUGAGCUCUUCAGCCAGGUUGAGAAUGAGAUCCGCGUUCGGGAGAUUCUGGCUGCCAGUGGAUGCAAGAUCAGGAUCCCCGAGAUUCUGUGGUCGGGCACGGCUUUACACCCGUUUGGCUGGAGAAACUGCCCGAUCGUGCUCGUGAAUUACGUUGGUGAAUCGCUACACAGCAAGACGCUUCCUAUCCGAGACGCCGCCAAGAUGGGAGCUAGCCUGCUGGAGACGGUGCUGGAGCUGCACAAGCGGGGGAUAAUCCAUAGAAACAUCAGCCCCAGGAACGUUGCUUACCGCGAGCAAGGAGUUGGUUUGGAGAGGUUCCACCUUCUCGACUUUGGGAUUGCCGCGAUUUCCUCGGACAAUGGUGGUAGCGUGGGAAGCAGCUCUGUCAAGGACCUGGAGUUUCGCUCCAUGAACUCGGUGUUGGGCAACAGCGUUGACGCUUCAGCGGAUCUCGAGGGUAUUCUGUAUACGAUGGUAAAGGUGGCCGGGAUGGAUCUACCGUGGUCGACUGCUGCGCAGGAGGAGGACGAGGACUUGGUGGUUACCAUCCGGCGCCAAGUGUUGGACCAGGGCUUCCUUGCGGAGUUCAAGGACGCCCUGAUGUUCCUUGACCUUCGUUUCACCAUAUGAUCAUUUCCAUUGUCUAGCCUCUAAAUCUCCCGGCUCGCCCCUGCUCGCCAAGACGUUUGCAUCGAGCCAGAGGGUCAUGGAGAGCUAGAGUAGUGACCAAUCGAUCCUCUGUCUCAGUUUGAAUUUAAAUUUGAAAGAACUUUCAACGACUAUAGAGAGGAAUUAGGGUUCUUGCAAUGUCGCAGCUACAACGACUGUGUCUUUGGCGACGGCGGGCCUUGGAUCGCUCUUUUCAACAUCUAGAAGCUGGUGAGGAAGAUUCAUCGUCGCAACGCAAAUGAAUCCCGCGCAACAAGCUCGUGAGCGGUCGGCCCUCGCCAUCAUCUUUCUGUGCUCGCCCCAAAUUUCGUCGCGGCGAGCUCGAGAUGGAAGAUCGGUCGAGAAAUGGGGUGGAGCAGCCGGUGAUCGGGCAGGAUAGCAACAGGAAGCUCCGGAUCUUGAGCAUCGAUGGCGGUGGAAUGAGAGGAAUCAUCCCAGCCCAUAUGCUGGCCUACUUGGAAACGGCUCUCAAGGAGAAGAGCCACAAUCCAGACGCUUGCAUCGCCGAUUUCUUCGAUCUGGCGGCUGGAACCAGCGUUGGGGGACUCAUUGCCGUGAUGCUCUUCGCAUCAUCCGACUGCCGCGAUGAUCAAGGCGAAGAAAUCUCCUCCUCCUCCUCCUCAUCGUCCACGGGAGAUCAUCAAAACCACGGUUCUAAGUCACUACGUCGGCCUCUCUUCACGGCCGCAGAGGUUUGCACGUUCAUCUCGGACAGAGGCAAGGAGAUUUUCAAGAUCCCAUACCCCCAGCGAGUGUUUGCAAAGGUCCGAGGGAUCAUGACACCCAGGUACUCCACCAAGUUCUUCGAGAGAAUCCUCAAGCAGCACUUGGUCCGAGGUGGUGGCGAUGGCAGAGAUCUCACGCUGGAUGACACGCUCAAGCCCAUCGUCAUUCCCUGCUACGAUCUCACAAACGCCAGCGCCUUUUGCUUCUCGCGAAUCUCCGCCAACUUCAAGCUCUGGGAGGUUUGCCGGGCUACCACGGCGGUUCCAUCGUUCUUCAAGCCCAUCCACGUCUCGUCCGUGGAUGGAAAGCACGAGUUCACGGCAGUCGACGGUGGCCUGGUGGUGAACAAUCCCACCGCCGCGGCGAUCACGCAUGCUUUGCACGACAAGGCUCGCUUCCCGGGUGUCCGAGGGGUGGAAGACAUGCUCGUUCUAUCGCUCGGCACCGGACAGUUUGAUCAAACUUACCGCUACAACAAAGUGGAGCGGUGGGGAGCUUUCCAGUGGGCCAAACCCAUUGCCAAGAUCAUCAUGGACGGAAUCUCGGACAUGGUGGAUCACACGGUCAGCAUGGCGUUUAGCAGGCACCGAGAGAAUUACGUGAGGAUUCAGGUGGGUUAUCUAUCGUUGAGAGUUUGCUUUGACGAACGACUAAAGUUUGUUUGCUUUGCUUCCAGAUGUCUGGCUUGCCGGGCAAAGCUCUCCUCGCAAUGGACGAUCCAAGCCAGGCCAACGUGAAGACACUAACCGAGAUUUCUACUCGGCUCUUGGACCAAAAGAGCUCGGAACACAUCCCGUUUAACGGGCGAAGAGUUUUGGAAGAGAGUAACAGACAGAAGCUGGACUGGUUUGCCGAGCAACUCGUGGCAAACACUCCAUCGUAAUCGAUUGAAUAUAGUUUCUUAUAUACAGGAUCUUUCAUAUGCACAACGAUGCGAAGCUUUUUACACAAUCUACAGGGCUUGGGCGGUACUCGAGCAUGCCUCCGCGCUAGCAGCAGCCAUGCGAGGUACGUCCACUCCUUCGUUGCAAAGAUUUGCAAACGCUCUCAUGUGUUUCAUGCCAUACUGUCCCAGCAAACCACAGCUCGUCUCGAAAGCUUGCACCUAAAAGUCACAUCACAGAGAGAAGAUCAUCGAAAAGAUCACACAAAGUUCUCGAAGAACACUUGCCAGCGAUUUCAGGCACGUCCAAUCGUCCACGAGCGCGAGGCCGGAGCCCCGGACGGUGCUUAGAACUUUGGAUGCCGCAGCCUUGGAGCCAAACAGACGCUCGCCAACUCGAUCCACGCUCUCGUCGACGUGCUGUCUGUGAGCCAAGGCGUUCAUCAUCCUCUCGCGAGCUUCUCGUUUGGAGUCACUUCCAUCCUUGGCUCGGCGAUACUACACUCGACGAAACGAUGCGAUCAUCGAUCUAGAAAAGAAAAGUUCUUCUCUUCGUACCUUGCUCCACAGGUGUAGCAAAUCCGCAUCACGCUGGCUAACACCAUUGGCACUGCUCGGGAUGAUCAAGUCGCCAUUGCCAUCCGCGAUUGCGGGAUCAAAGCCCAAGAACAUGGAAAGCGGGUUAGAGUUGAGCUCCACGUCGCCGUAUUGCAUUACGUGUGAUCCGGCCUCGUAAGUGUUGUGAUUCGAGGUUCUAUCUUUCACCUGCAAGAUCGAAGUAAAAACCAAGAGAUCCCGAUCGAUUCAGCAAACUCACGUCUAGAUACUGUUGAAGUAGCGUCUCCCUCUUGAGAUUGUGAACUUCGCUGUUUGGAAGAGAGAUCCCGUAAGCUCAAACGUCAAAAAAACUUAGAACUUUAGAAGAACCUGUCCUCCAUCCAAGCGACGCUGUAGAGAUCUCCCAAGCAAGUAUCAUACUCAGGAGGAGCCGAGGGUACCAUUCCAGGGCAGUAAGUUCCCCAGCUGCUCUCGAUCGCGUUGGAAGCAGUGGUAACGUAAAGACCCAGUCCCAGUGGAAGCAAUCCCUCGACCAUGCUGCCACUCUCGCAAGCCUCGAUAUAUAUCACCUAAAGUUGGCAGCUCGAGUAGUAGCAUCUUCUUUAGCUCACGACGAACAAAGAAAGAACAAAGAUGAAAAGAUCUUUACCAUUUCUCUGUAGCCUCCGGAUGCGUGCUUCUUCUUGAUGACGUCGAUGAGAUCAUUUGCGUAGAGAUUCGACUCUCCGGGCAUUCCUGUCAAGCACGACAAGCUAAGUUGUUUGUCUUUCUCGAGUCUAGAACAAAGAAGGAAUCACCGAGAACUCCAGGGCCUCCGUGAUCCGAGUAGAAGAGAAAGACAUGAUCUUCCGGCCCGCUGCUCACGACUUUGCCAGUUCCGCCGCUGGUGGAAUUCUUGUCCCCGAGAAGAACAGCCAGGAAAUUCUCGGCGGUCACGGCAGCGCCCGUGUAAUCCUGGCCACAGAACAAUCAAUCAAUAACGUAACUUCCAAGAAAUCCGCGAACAAGUCAAAACUCCUUCACCUUUGGAACUCCGGCAUAAACGUCGGAUCCUUGGGGAUGAUUGAUGAUCGUUCCCGGGCGAGGAUUGUCCGUGUUGUUGGCUAUGUCGUCGAACAUCAUCACCACAAUGUUUUCCUCCUUGAGACCAUUGCUGCGCAGCAACUGGUAUGCAUGGCAAACAUCCGCCUGGAGGAAAGAGCAGUUUGGAAGCAAACAAGAGCAAACGAAGAACUUAGAACAAGAAGGAAGCGAAGAACAUAGAGAAAGAAAGCGAUGGAAAGACUCCUCUCACCUGGUGCCUGUAGUUGCCAAACCCGGAAGAUCCAGCAACUAGCAGCGCCCACCUCGUCCCGGACGCAACUUCCUCGCUCGAGGGCAUGCGAAUUGGAUUGUGGGCUGCGAAAAAGUCCAGUGGCCUGGCCGCCGCCACCGCCACCGCCACCAUCGCUAGAACCAGCCACAGGAAGAAUCCCACUCCCAUGACGGCGAUCUCUCUCUCGAGAACGAAAGAAAGAAAGAAAACCAAAGGGUUACGAGAGAGCUUGAGUCUCUCUCUCUCUCCCUUUAUCGUGAACAGUACGAGAGUGACACCACCUAAACUCCCAAAACUCUAGCCAAGACUGUCGAGGAAUCCAUCGACGUCGGCCUUGAUGGUGCUUAGAUCCGCCUCGGCGCUCAAGCUCAGCUUGCCAUCGCUCACGCUCACCAGCACCUUGGCCUGGAACGCGUUGGCGUAGGCAUUGGGAUUGCAAAACAGCUCGAAUCCCACCUCCUCGCCAUCGCCACCAUCGCCACCAUCGCCAGCGCUGUAUGCAAACUCGACGCUCUUGAGCCUCUUGGGCCGCCCUCCUUCCUCGUGCGCCUGCUGCUUCUCCCGGAACGUCUGGAUCAAUGCCUCCAUCGUCCCGCUCAGCGCUCGCGCCUUGUCCAUCGACAUCGGCAUUGUGAUGGACGUCUCGCCAACGUGAAGCGUCAAGCUCUUGGACGCGAUCGUCGUCGCCCCCGCGGCUACCAAAACACACUAAAAAUCCCACCUUUGCCUCGAAUUCGACAUCUCACCUGCGCUGGGAUUGCCGUUGGAGCUCGAGCAAGCGGUCGGCAAUGCGGUGUGCCUGUGUGACAAGAACACUCUGGGAAGAGCAACCAUGCCCGCCAUAGCCAUUGUUCUUCCGGGCCACAAAAACUAACAAACCCUCGAUCUUCUUCCUCUCUAUCUUAGCUCCAAAUGGCGGCAGCGAUCAAAUGGGACGAUGGCUUCCCCAAGUUCGAUCUCGACUCGUUUAGCUCCAAGAGGAAGCGAUCGCUCAAGAGAUCCUCCAAGAACAACUGGCUCCAAAGAUCGCUGCAGUGGAUCGAGGAGAGGAACCUGGGGCCGGGCGGCGGCGCUGGGAUCGGGUGUGGAGUUGGGCUGGGAUUGGGCGUGACGGGAUCGCUAGGACUGGGCGCUGGAUCCUGGAACGAUCUCCGUGUCAUCUUCGGAGUAGGCGCCGGGUGCGGCGUUGGAAUCGGGUAUGGAAUCGGGCAUGGGCUUGGCUUUCUCUGGGAUAGGCCACCACCAUCGCCACCACCACCAAAACGAAAUUUUGUCUCGUGAUUCUUCUUCCUCCCAAGAACAAGAAUAAGAUCUCUUACGUUCGAUUUCCAUAGCUAAAGCUAGAAGAUAGAAUCGUUCCAUAGCUACGUAGAAGAAAGCUAACUAGAAGAUAGACUACGUAGAAGAAAGCUACCUAGAAGAUAGACUACGUAGAAGAAAUCUAAGAAGCUCCAUAGCUCAUAUGAAUAUGGACCAAGGUCUCCAAGUAUAUACAAACCGGGUAAAAAUCCCAUCUUGCUCGAUCUUCCUCCAUUUCAUCUCUCGCGAGCUUCACGAUCUUGCCGGGCAUGGCCGGAGGAUCGCCCCCAUGUCCGUCUUGUACGCCUGGCGGCACCCCGGGCAUCGCCCAUCAUCCGACGCGAUCCGGUGGUGGCAAAACAAGCACAGCCGGAAGCCACACGCGCAAGGCUGAAACGAGGAAUCGGUGCUGUCCAGCUCCUCCGUGCAAAUCGGGCAGCACGCCGGCCCCGCGCUCGCGGCCGCCGCCGCUACCGAUCUCGCGAAGAAAUCCCUGUGCCUGUUCGUCACCCACGCCGCUGGCGGCCGCGGCGGUGGCGACGCUACUCGUCGCUCCACUCCAGUCGGCCUGGGAAGCAGCGGCGGUAGCGAGCUCGGGGCGAUGAUCCUGGGAAGGCUGGCCGGACGGAACGUAUCCUCAACCUUCCAAGCUGCGACGGCGGCUGGCGGAGAGUUCCUGGCGUCCUGGUGGUGGAUCAUCCUGUCGUCCCUGUGCCUGUUCACCACCAUCGCCACCUUUUCCUUCUCGGCCGGAUCCUUGUUGAGAUUCAUCUGGGAGUCGAGAGCGUCGGCCGCGGCCUCCCAAUCCUCCUCCUCCUCCUCCUCUCCCCCAUCCUUUCCUUUCUCUCCACCGAGAACUUUGUCACAGUCCCCGGAAGCUUUGUUCUUGCUCUUGCUCUUGCCUUUCCUGCCAGAUCUUCUCUUCCCUCCCUUGCUGCUCAUGUCGGGAGGAUCCAACACCACGCCCCUCUGACUAGAGCAAGAAAUGGAUGAUUUACUUACACUCGAGUUAAAAUUACAGGAGAGGAGGUCGAGCGGCCCACCGUCGCACAGAUCGUCGUGGUUGAUCACGCACGACUCGGCGUCACUGUCGCCUCCGGUGCUCGAUCCGUGGAGGUGUUGCUCCUCACCCAACUUGGGCGAUGGGCUCUCAAGCACGGAAUUCGGAGACAAGCUCGCCACAAGCUUCCCUACACAGGAAAAAAAGGGGGAAAAACCAUUCACUCCAUCCAUCCACCCAAGCGAGAAAGGAAGAAAAAGUCUGUGUCGCCUACCUUGAGAGAGCCAUUGCUCGCGCCGGGCAUCCAGCUUGAACUGCUUGAGCUUGGCGUUCCUGUUCACCUGCGCAAGAGAAGGAAGGAGACCAUGAAUUAGGGUUUAGAGGAAACCGUGGGAGCGCUGCCAAAUCCUUACCCUCUUUCGCUUGCUGGCGUCGCGGGCGAGGAGCGAUUCCAAGGGGAGCUGGCUCGCGUCCAUGGCGAUGGCGAUGGAGCUGGAAGAAGAGAUUUUCGCGAUUUUGUUGGAAAGAGAGAAAGGGUAGGAAGGAAGGAGGAGAUAUCAAAUAGUAUAACGAAAAAGCACGGCCGCGGCGGCGAAGAGCCCACUGAUGAUUUAACGGAGGAGGAAGACGACACGCCAAACCGGAUUGGACGGCCAGGAUUGCUUCCGUUUGACCGAAGCAAGCUCCGAGCCGAUGAAGCAUUCGCUGACACGUGGCAUCAUCGUAUAUGAUCUUUUUCUUGGCGAGUUGCGUGUUCGAUGCCUGACAGGGGAAGAAAUUAUAUUAACGGAUAAAAAAGAAAGUGCCGUUACUCGCAGGAAAGUCAAUACAGGAAUAUACCUCCUUCACUCGAACUUGAAAUUAGGGUUCUAGCGCAGCAGGCAUGGUGAUCUUGCGGCGGAUGCGCACGCUUCUCUUUCCGCCCUUCCUGGCACUCUUGGCGAUCAUCUUCUGGAGCGCCUCUCUUCAGAUCCCGAGCGCCUCUGUUCUCGAUUUCGAGUGUCUCGUGUGUCAUGGCGUCAAUGUCGUCAAAAAUCCAUUGUGGCAAUUGGGCGCGCUCAGCCUCGAGAGGGAUCCGCCCAAGCAGCGAUCCGAGAGCGAGAUCGUGGUAGCCAGCGACAGCGUAACAGGGCUGCCAAGUCUAGAUGAUCAAGAUCGCGUCUUUCAGCUGGAAAUUCCUUCUACUUCUGCGACGGCAUCAGCUGAUUUGGAAGGCGGUGAAGAUGAGAUUGACAAACAAAAGGAGAUUGGUGAAUUCUUCCAGGAGCUCCAAAGGAAUUCAUCGUCCACUAUAGCCGAUCGUAACAGCACUCUUGAAGAUUCCAGCCAAGCAGGGGAGAGGCCGCUACAACCGCCCAACGAUCCAUCAAUAGCUCGAAACGCUUCCAUUAAUCCCCCUUCUAUAAGUUCCUUGACAGCUGAUGGUCAAGAGGAGAAGCGUGCGAUCCAGGAGGUGGAGCGACUUAUGCAAUUCUUGCGAAGAUCAGGAUCAGGCCAGGUAAAGAAGUCUCCACAGGAUUGUCAGGGAAGAAACGUCUAUGUCUACGAUCUUCCACCCAAAUUCAACGCGGAUCUCCUCAAGCAAUGCGAAACUCUGCUGCCAUGGAUGAGCAUGUGUGAUUUCGUCCGCAAUUCGGGAAUGGGUCUUCCAGUUUCGAUCGACGCCGCUCGCGAUUUCCUCACUCCUCGCGGAUCUUGGUUCAAGACGCACCAGUACGCGCUGGAGAUGAUCUUCCACGCCCGGAUCCUCGACUACUCCUGCCGGGUGCUCGAUCCAUCCCUCGCCGACGUGUUCUACGUGCCCUACUACGCCGGCCUGGACGUGAUGCGAUCGAAUUUCAUGCCCAACGUGAGCAGCGCACAGCGCGACGUGUUGGGCGACGAGCUCAUGACAUGGCUGACUAAGCAGCCGUCCACGUGGAAAACGGGCGACCGACGUGACCAUGUCAUAGCUCUGGGAAAAAUCUCCUGGGAUUUCAGGCGUAUGACAUCGGACGCAAGAUGGGGGAGUAAUCUCCUCGCUCGCGCCGACAUGGCCAACGUCACCAAGCUUCUCAUCGAGCGCCACCCCUGGCACCCCAAUGACGUGGGCGUGCCACAUCCCACCUUCUUCCACCCGGGCUCGGACGCGGACAUCACGACGUGGCAGGCUCGCGUGCUCCGGGACGACGUCCGGCCGAGCCUCGUCGCCUUCGCGGGCCAGCCCAGGCCCGGGCAGGCGGGGAGCAUCCGUGGGGAGCUGAUACGGCAGUGUACGGCUCGCUCGGACCUGUGCCGGAGCUUGGACUGCGGCUCCAGGGCUUGCUUUGGUCCCGAGGCGACUCUAGGUUUGUUUUUAGCCUCGGAUUUUUGCCUCCAGCCAGUUGGCGACAGCCCGACCCGGAGAUCUGUGUUUGAUUCGCUGCUGGCCGGCUGCAUUCCGGUUUUUUUCGACCCCUUCACGGCCUACUACCAGUAUCCAUGGCAUCUUCCGUCAAAUGGUAGCGCAUAUUCUGUUAUGAUCGCGGCAGAUUCUGUUACCGACGUGGAUAUCGUGGGCGAGCUCCAGAAGAUUCCAUUCGCACGGAGGAAGGAGAUGCGGCAUUUCAUUGUCCACGAGAUUCUCCCCGGGAUCGUCUACGCGCAGCCGGGAUCCAAACUGGAGAAAUUCGAGGACGCUUUCGACGUUGCCAUGAAAAACGUGAUUGCCAGGGUCGCUUCGAGAGAGAUUUACGAUUCCAGCGAGCUCAGAUGAUCGAUCACCCAAAGUUUGCUUGUUGUAUAGAUUUAUAAACACAAUGACACACACACGACACAUUCUUUUAUAUCUCUUUCUUCACGGCAGCAAAAGCAAAUGGUGUUCCACAUAAGACUUAUACAAAGUGUUCUUCCGUUCUCACAUCAUCUUUGUUUUUGCUAUCCAUCUUGGACGGCUCAUAAAUUAAUCCUUGAGGACUCCAAUGGGAAGUAGAAGAACGAUGGAUCCAUCCAUCCCAUCACUCCCGCAGCUCGAGCUCGAGCUCUAAAGCCAGGCCGCGGUUUGCUAGAUGCUACAACUCCCAUUCACUUCAUGCCUCGGCCCAGAGCGUGGAGAGGAAGAGCUGUCGAACGAACUUUGAUCGAACGCUUGCCUCUUCCAGCUUCUGCUCUCUCUCUUCGGCCGUGAGGGAGCAUUCAGCACUGUUAAGAUCCAAAAAAAUCGCAACUUGAUCAGCAACUGCUGCGAGAAAUCACUUUCGUAUACAAAGACAUACCUUAGCUCGGCUGGAGCUGUGGAAGUAGCAAGAGAAACCGAGUCCGAGUUAUCCAAGCUCAGCUUGGAAGAAUCGUCAAUCUCGGAUAUGGGCAUGUUACAGACAAGCGUGGACAAGAAGAGAUCCGGAAUUCCAGAUCCUGUCCUUGCCGGAGAGCACGCUCCCAGGAGAGCCUGCAAGUGUGCUUGAUUCAUGUCCUUCCCACUGAAGGGAAAUCCGGAAUGGGACGUGAUUCCCGGCCUCCUAAACUUGCGACGCCUCUGAAAGUAAGCUUCUCGUCAAGGAUAAUACAAACGAGGAACCGGAACAAAGAUAAGAAAACCAACUUUUUCGAAGGAUAUCUUGAAGAGAUUUCCGUGAUGAACUGUGAUAUGGCUGAUCAUGUCCUUCCCGACUUUGGCAGCACACACGGGACACAGCUAUAGACACAGAAACGCAAAGAAUCAAAAUCCACGAAGGAAGAAGAAGAAAAAAAAGAGAAUUUUCUUACCACAGGUCUUGAUUCGGAGAAAUGCUCGUCCUCCAGGUGAGAACACAGAGAGAGCAAGUCCAGUCCCUCGAAACAGUAUGGACAAGCAAAAUCCGGUCUCAGUUCCUCAUCGCCCUCCACAUCAUCCACAGUGAAGUGCUGAUCUGCAUUGCGAGCGCAGAAAACCAAUGUAACACCCACGAAAAAAUUCGAUAGUGGAAAAGGAGGAGAAGAGAGCUUUAUAGCUUACCCAGCAUCGAAUGAACGGCGUACUGGCGCUUAGAAAGCAAGCGAGCUGCCCACAUAUCGCCCUCCAUGCUUGCUUCCGCUGCGAAUGCGGCCGAACGGCGAUGAGCACCUCAAAACCCUGGUCAAUCCCGGCCCGCCGCUGCAACCACACACGAUUCUUGCGACGGCCGCGCACACGAGAGGAAUCGCGACAUACCGGAGGGGGGAAAUCGAGAAUGCCGCCGCGGCGUCGCUAUCUGGGCGCACACAAGCUUCCCUCUUGUGUGGAUAUGGCGUCCCCGAACCUGGACUGGGAUCCCAGACCUAGAAUCCCGAACCUGCGGUUACCGUGCCACGCGGCCGCGGCGAUCUUUCCAUUUUGCAACCGCAAAAACAUUAUAAGGCUAUCAUAGACACGUGGCGCGGAGCCAUUGGCUGCAGUAGUUGACUUCGCCGUGGGUACUGUACGAAGAACAGGGUAAAAAAGCGGCAUUACUUUCUCUUUCACUUGGAAAUCCAGUAAAGGAACAUCAAGAAAGUGCAAACUGAAAUCACGGCUGACAAGAUCAAUGUGUCCUGGUUUUUUUUUCUUCGAAUCGCAACUAGAACAUGGUUCACCUGGAAAGCACGCAUCAAAAAAGGAUUUUUUUUUUAUCCCCACACUGAUCGAUCUGCGAACUUCUUACCGACGGUAGAAUCGAUCCUACGUUGUUGAUCUUGAAUCCGAUCGUUCCAAACAAGCUUCGCUGCGUGGACAGCGCGCUGAGAGCUGCGUGUGCUUGAUUCACGACCGAGUCUAUCUGAGAACCAAGUCACUGUAAGAAAAAAAGGAAGUAACUUUGUCUAGAUCUUAGAAGAACCUGAGCAGUAGAUCUCUGGAUGGAGCUCCUCUCUUGCACAAGGGGAUCAACUUCCAAUCUUCUCUCCGAUGGCGAUCGAAAAGAGUGGAGCAAUUCGGCGUGCUCGCGAUUGUCUUUGGCAAUAGCUCGUUUCCUCUUAAACUCCUGCGAGAGCUCUCACUAUGUCAAGGAGAAAAGAAAGUUCUUUCUCAUACAUUUUCUUACCUGGACGAACUCGUGAGAGAUGUUUAGAUGGCGUGCCAAGGUAUGAGAAACAAUGUCAGAACCGAUCGCUGACAUCAAAGACUGCAUACUCGAAUUGAUUUGCUGGAGUUGCUUGAGCAGCCUCUCGAUCUCCGCUUCACAAUCCUCCCCCGACUGAUCUGGCCGCCCAAAACUCGCAAGCUUGGCAUCGAUCUCAUUCUCCAGCCUUCGCGCCUGGCAUUAAACCCUUAGAGAGAAUUCUCACGGAUCAAGCGCCCAUUGCUCACCUGCUUGCGGAGAUCGUCCCAUCCGACUCCGGCGAAGCUCGGAUCCACCGCCAUUUUCUUUCUUCUUCUUCCUCACGAACCCUAAUUGGAAGCCCUAGUCAGUGACAAAAAAAGAGAAGAUACCAAAAUUUCAAAUUCAAAUUCAAACCAUUCGCGGCAAUCGAUCGAUCAAUGAACGCCUCCAAAAACGAAGAAGAUCUCUCUCCCGUGAAACUCGAGUGGGUCCUCAAAUCGAUCGUGAGCUUUUUUUUCUCGGAAAUUCAACGUGAUCGCACGUAGCUCACUCAAUGGUAUAUCUUUGAGCGCUCGCGCGAUCUCCCGAGCGAUGGCGAAAUGGAGCAGCAAAGAAGAUUGGGACAAACAACGCCAGCGCCAAAUCCAAAACCUGUUCCUCACGGUUCUGUGCCUCAGCCUCGCCGUUCUUCUCAUCGCUGUGCCUCGGGAAUACAGAACAACGCAGACCUUCUCGAGUAAGAGCUAGAACUUUUGACAGAGAUUCUUGGCUUACUUGUGAUCGAGCAGGAGCGAGCGAAAGGAUCGAAUCCACAGGUAAGUCCGGUGCUACGUCGAAGAAAACCGUGGAGGAUGGUGUUGCCUGUGAUCUUUCAAACUAUCGCACAGCAGUGUGUCGCCUCGCUGGUGAUCUGAGAAUCAGCGGCAGCACGGUGACACUGUUUAGUCCUCGCAACACCGACGAGGAGAUCCUCGUCCAAAAGAUCAAGCCAUACCCGAGAAAGUGGCAGAAGCAGCUGCUCGAAAAGAUUAGCGAGGUGACGAUCAAAGUGAGAAGAUCCAGCUCCUCAACUCCACAGCACCAGUGUGAUGUCAACCACACGCAAGCCGCCAUGAUCUUCUCGACUGGAGGCUACACCGGAAGUGUCUACCACGACUUUAACGAUGGUCUCAUCCCCAUCUAUAUCACCUCGCACGGAUUCGAGGGCGAGGUUGUGUUCUUAGUCUCCGAGUUUCAGCCGUGGUGGAUGAAGAAGUACGGUAGCAUUGUCAAGCAGAUGACCAAGUACCCCGUCCAAGACUUUUCCAGCAACCCCGCGCAGCACCGCGUCCACUGCUUCCCCAAAGUCGUGGUCGGUUUGGACAUUCACGACGAGCUUGCCAUCAAUGCCGCAAAGAUGUCGCAUGGAAAGUCCAUCCGAGACUUCCAAUCCAUCCUCAGUGCUGCCUUCUCGGCCUCGGACAGUCGGACCAAAGUUCCAAGCACCAGGCCGAAGCUCGUCUUCAUCACUCGGCGAAGAACUCGGGUUGUCACCAACGAGGAAGAAGUGGUCCAGCUUGCGGAGAGAGCUGGAUUUGACGUCGAGGCUCUGGAACCCGGAUUCAACCACGAGAUGGCCAAUCUUUACGGGAUCAUACAGUCGGCCGACGUUCUUCUCGGUGUCCAUGGAGCAGCAAUGACACACCUGCUGUUUAUGCGACCGGGAUCACUCCUCCUCCAAAUCGUUCCACUUGGAACCAAGAGCCCGUCUCGGUCGUUCUAUGGAAACCCGGCCAUGAAAGCUGGUAUGCAGUAUAUGGAGUAUAUCGUCGAAGCCAGUGAGAGCAGCCUGUUGAAACGCUUUGGACAGAACCACUCCGUGAUUGUGAGUCCUCCAGAGAAUCCAGGAUCGUCUUCCGGGUGGAGCGAUAUGAAGAAGAUCUAUCUCGACAAGCAGAACGUUACUAUCUCGCUUUCGAGGUUCGAGCCAGUUCUUCGAGAAGCCUUUGAGAAAAUCUCAUCUCUGUGACCGACGUGGAUCCGGCAGCGCAGCAUGUAAAGAAAGUUCUUCCCCUCGGAGUGGUUUGUGAUGAGUUUUCGUUUCUUCCAGCUAGCCAGCGUUGAUGAUCCCAGCUAGAACAACAUACGGAGCUGCCUUCUGCGGAUUGAGAUGAGAGACCAACUUCGUUCCUCGGCCCCGAUCACUCUGGAGCUUGCAAGAACUCAGCAGAGCUGUCCACUGGCCGGUACCGGGAAUGAACGGCAUGCUUCCGAUGAGAUCUUCCGCCUCGUUGAGCUCUCCUGCUCGUCCCAAAAUGUCGAUCAUCAGACCGUAAUGCUCCCUCGCGGGAUUCACUCCAUGGUCGCCAACCAUGGAGCUAAAGCAGCACAACGCGUCUCUCAGCACCCCAGAGUGAGUGAAACCACUCAGUGUGCUCAUCAUCGUCAUGUCGUCGGGGUGGAACCCUUCCACCACCAUUUGCAGCUCCAGAUCCAGCGCCAACUUCCCUCUGCCCGAGUUUGAAAACACCGAGAUGAUCGUGUUCCAGGAUGCCGUGUUCUUCGCAGGCGUUCGAUCGAAUAUGAGCUUUGAUGAUCCAACAUGGCCGUUGUGAGCGUAGGCAGCAGCCAGAGCGUUCCAGGAGACCACAUCCGGCUCUGGAAUCUGGUGAAAGAACUCCAUCGUCUCCUUGAGGAACAAUCCUUGAGAGAAUCCAGUGAGCAUCGCGUUCCAGGAGACCAGGCUGUGUAGAGGCAUCGAAUCAAACACCGUCUUGGCGCCGAGAGCAUCGUAGUGCUGUGCAAAAGCCGCGAGAAGAGCGUUCCAGGACGAGACAUCCCACCGCGGCAUGAGAUCAAACAAAACUCUUGCCUUCUCCAGUUCCCCAUUGAAGGCAUAACCAGCGAUCAUCCCAUUCCAGCUGACGAUGUUCCUCUCUUGCAUCUCGUAAAAGACCUCCUCCAUCUUCCUCACUCGCCGGAAGCUCCCAUAGGCCGUGAUCAUCCCAUUGCAAGAGAUCACAUCCCAAACAGGCAUCCUCCAGAAGAGCUGCUCGGCUGACUCCAGAUGCCCAUUCUGGGCAUACGCUGCGAUCAUCGCAUUGAGCGCCACGACGUUGAAGCACGGGAUCCUGGCGAAGAUUUCUUCUGCCCUGGCGAGAUUACCUCUGUCGGAGUAGGCGCUGAGCACGGCACUGCUGGAGCACACAUCCCACUCCGGCAUCGCCUCGAAAGCCGCGAUGGCGCCAUCGAUCUGGCCGCUGUGAGCGUAGCACCCGAUUAGGGUAUUCCAAGACACGAUGUUCUUGAGCGGCAUUGCAUCGAACAGAGCCCUGGCGGCGUCGAUCUCCCCGUUCCUGGCCAGCGCCUGGAACAUCGCGGUGCUGGACACGAUAUUCCACUCGGGCAUCGCAUCGAAGAGCUCCUUGGCGAGGACGAAUUGCCCGCUCUCCGAGUAGCCCUGGAGCAGCGAUGUCCACGAGAUGAUGCUCCGGCACGGCAUUCCGGAAUCGAACAGGCCCUUGGCCUCGCCCAGAUGGCCGUUGGAUGCGAGCGCGUGGAGCAUCGCAUCGCGCGCCACGCUAUUCCGGAAUGGCAUGGAAUCGAAGAGAUCCCUGGCCUCCUGCAAAUGCCCAGCCUGGGAAUAUGCGACUAGCAGCGCGGUAUCGGCCAUCACAUUCCUCUCCGGAAUCCUCUCCAGCAAAUCCCGCGCUUCAUCGACAUGCCCAUUCCGGGCAUAUGCGGUGAUCAUCAUCGUCCACGAGAACUCGUUUGGGUUGUCAAUGCCAUCGAAAACCCGGCGCGCGUUGGCCACACUCCCGCAUUUGCCGAACAUUUCAAUGGCGAGAUUGCGAAGGUAAGUGCUGCUGCGGCAUCUGCUGGAGAGAAUCGAGGCAAAGAUUGCAUUUGCCCUGACGGGGUCAUUUUCCACACCGCAUUUCCUCAGUAGCAGCGCAUACUUAUCCUCGUCAACCAGGAACAUGAGAGUUCUAAGCCGUGUUCCUUUUGCAAGUGGCAAAUAUGCCAAAAACUUGUAUAAAUGUAAAUAUGUUCUGUUUUAGAUCUUAGAGCGCCCACCUUGCUAGAUUUAUUGCUGACCUUGUCAAAGGUCUAGCAAAUGUAUGAAGAACAACUUACUCGUGAACAGUCGUGUAAACAGUGGAGUGAUAAUGGAGAGAUUUGGAAUGAUCCCAGCUCGGGGAUCUUGGAUCUUGGACCUUGGUGUUACGUACACGACAAGCUAUAAGAAUUUGUGGGUUGGUCGUACGUACGGAAGCAAAAGCAAAGUGUUUGAUACCUAAUCGAAGAUCAUUCUUUCAAUAGCCAAGCAAGGUGGCGGGGAUCCAUAAGUUGGCGCAAGUUUCCGAGGCGCGCAAGCUAGCAUCAACGCUUCGUGGACACAUGGACCGUAUCAAACACUGCUCAAGAUUUUUCUCGCGAGUUACGUGGCACCACUCAAGCGCAGCACAUCUAGAUCUUCUGGAAGUUUAAUUAACUCAGACACGAGCAAUAGUUAAUCUUUUAUUAACGAACUCAAUCUUAGAGAAAUUAAACUAGAGGCUCGGGCAUUUGGAUUGGCCGCGACUGUGUUGCCAUUGCUCGAGUGAUUUGAUCAAAGUUUUCAAGGUUUUGUCGCUGAUUAUAGACGAGGUUUUUGUGUGGUGCUCACGGGUGACGUGACGUGACGGGCGGGAUCCUUGGGUUGCGACGGGCCACAAGCGCGUCAACGCUUCACAAGCACAGUGCCACCCGUCAAUCUCCCAGCCACUCUACCUAUAUGGGCACGCAUCACCCCACCAUUUCUCUUCGUCUCUCUCUUUUCUCUCUCUCUUCUCUCGCACUAGUUCUUCGCUGGCUUCUCUCGCGAUCGGUGCCUUCUCUGGGCGAUUCUCUUGAAUCUGGCAGCUUGAUGCUGCCGCGGGGACGAUUCGCGAGCGCGCGAGCUUCCCGAAGAUUCCACUCUAGGUCUGGCGGCGCUUUUCUUUCUUCGAUCGAGCAUUGAGGUAUGAAUGCCUUCUUGUGCUUGGAUUUCUUCUCUCUUUCUCUCUCUCUCGUGCUAAUUCUUGCUUGGGCUUUGUUUUCCAGAAGUUUUGUACCAGCGGCUAGCUUAGAGCUACAUUAUUUUUCUUCGCGUCCCGCGAAAACAGUGUUUUUUUCUUCUUCUUCUUCUUCUUCCUCUAUUGCCUCUUUUGUGGAAAAUAACAAAAGAGCCCGUUUUGUGGGUACGACUUUGUGGAUCAUUGACUCUGGGUGGAGAUCAAACUUAUCCCUUACGCAAGUGUCUUACAUUUUCUUUCCCAAAAAGGUUUCCAAGUUCCAAGCACACACCAUGGGCUGUGCGCUCACCAAAACCGAGGACGAGCACAACUCGGUGCAAGCUCCCGUCCAGACCGAGGAACUCUGCGUCUUCUCGCCCGGCUUGCGGCUCCCAAAGUCACUGGAACUCGCAAACUCGGAUCACCUCCUCCAGGCCUCUGCGAGAAAUUUGCUGGAGAGAUUGAUGAGCGUCCACUCGAGACUUGCCGCCGCGGCGCAAGAGCUCGUCUCUACAAAGAAACUCAAGAAAAAGAGGUCUUCGCUAACUGGUAACCCGUGCAUUCUCUGCAGAUUCUCUCGAUCAUCAAACUGACUGUUUGUUUGUCCAUUGUGAUCGUGUUAGUCUCGAACAUAACACAGCUUAAGGAGGCCAUUGACGACUACUUACCAGUUCUUCUCAAGCUCAUCCGGAAAGGUACGCUUAAGUUACGCGAAAAGCUUUCGGUCUUCUUAGGAUUGUCCAAACUUACCCUUUGGUUUUCGCUCUAGAGCCACGGUUGGCCGACCAAGUUCUGUUCACUUGGACAAACCAAGAGGACGAGAUAAAGGUGCGGGAAGAACUGUGCUUGUUUGCAUCUCCUCGUCUUUUGUCUAACUUUUGGGAAAUCUCUCUUUUGUACGUCGUUGAUUGCAGGAAACGACGCUGCAAAGCCCGUAUUACGAAGUGCUGUCUGUGCUACAGCUCCUGGCGACGCUCUCGCUGCUGGAAGCGAACAGGGCUCUCUUGUUUAAACCUGUAAACUUGGAAGCCAGCCAUCACAGGCAGAUCAUGGACGGUAAGAGCCUUGAAUGCGUUCCUUUAUUUUGUAGAGCGCGACCUUUACCUCUUUCUCCAACAGAAACCAAGAAGUCUGCCAUGGAUGUUCUAUUCAAAGCUGCAGAGAUAUUGGAAUGCGCGCUUAAAUCUGUCCUCCCUCAAGCCCCUCGUGAAGUAAGGUGAGUUUAAAGUCUGCUAAAUUGGUGUUCCAGAGCUCGUUCGUUGUCUGAUCUUGUUUUUCUUGUUUAAAAACUAGCAGGAAUCAGCUGCCAGUGGACUUAAAGGAGGGCACGCUGCAGGCAAUGCAGCUCCAAGCGCUAGGACAGGUGAGAGACAGCAAAAAAAAACACUCUUUUUUCCUUUAGUUUUUUGUCGUAGCAGUGCAGUGAUAUUUAUUUUUCUCUGGACUGCUUUUGCUCAGACUGUUGAGAUCCAACUGGGCCUGGCAGUCGACAAUCCGAAAGCAACCAUGGCAGUGAAGCGUCGAUUAGCAUGCGAGGAGCUCAAGUACUGGCAACAGGCUUGUUUCUUUGCUCGAUCUCUCUCGCUCAACUCCAAAAACUAAACUUUUUCCUUCAUUGUCUUUUGCAGGCCUACGAGAACUUGCAAGCUGUAAACCUGGGAAAUGGAUGGGGUGACAAGCAUUUACUUUUCAUCAGAUGGAAACGGGCCGAGGCCAAGGUAAGCAAUCUAAGCAAAGUUGAUCCCAGCAAUCUAAGCAAGAGUUUUUGCCUUCUGUGGAUCAAAGGUCGCAGCUUAUUACUUCCACGGCCUGAUCUUAAACGAGAGCAGUGACAGCCAAGGCGCAGCAGCCUGCCUCCGGGCGUCGGCACACUUCUUCAAGGAAAGCGAGAGAAUUUGUGGCGACUUUUGUGCAACAGCGCCCAUGACAACGAAGUACGUAGCAAGCAAAACUGUUUGAUGGUUUGUGCAUGGUUGUGGUCCUACGUUUGCCUGCGUGCUUUGGCCUUUCUAUCUUGAUUCUUCUGCCAGUCCUCGCUAGUCUUUCCAUUUUCUCAUUCCGCUUUUCGCUUUCCUUGAUCUAAUGGGAAUGAAACUAAACUCCAAGGGGCGCCGUGUGUGCAGCAGGACACUGGUUGGCAAAUCGCCAUCAUGGGGUCCAAUGAAGCACCUCUCGGAGAAAAUUUCCAAGGACGCAGUAACAUCAACACAGCACGACUUCUUCGAAGACAACAGGUAAGUUCUCGUGCUUUGGUGUAGGUGGUGUUUGGUCUGCUCCAAACACACAGGGUUUUAGAUUCUUGCUCUUGCUCGCUCGCGAAGUUUCUAAAUUCUCUGCUUCUUUCUACUGCCAUUUCCAGAGACAGGAUCGUGGAGCUACCAGAUUUCGCAUUGGCGCUGCAAGUAGACGCGUACCAAAUGCCAGAGGCCGACGAGGAAGGAGAAAUCGACGAGAAAAACUCCGCCGUGGAGCUUGGGAUUCAAAGCGGGCCAUCGUUUCUGACAGAAGAACAAAGUACACAAUACGCAUAGGGGCAAGUCAAGUAAGAAGAAACUCGGGAAAUUUUUUGACUGCGCAGGAGUUCCAAAAAAAGAAAAAGGUGGUAGAAAUGCGUGGUAGCGACGCAAGCAAAUCGCUAGCGCUAGAAGAAGAUGGGCUAUCGACGUCCAUCGCGACUGUAUAUAAAUGUGCGUGUGCUUGGCAAAAUUUCAACGCAAACAAAGUAGUUUGGUAAAAUUCUAGAAGGGAGUCGUGCCGGGUGGGAAUCGAGCCGGGGAUGUGCCGGCGUGGCCACGUUGUGUGCCAGCUGGAGCGCGUGGGCUCGAACCUGGCACCAGUGCCGUCCAGGCUCAACUGGGACCGCCCUCCAGCUCAUGCCCAGCCAUGCGCAUCAUGGCCAUCAUGCCAAUAAAUACCAUCCCAUCCAAUGGAAAGAGAGAGAGAGUAGCGGCCAGCCCUAUCUUCCAUUCUUUGUUCUUGGAGCUUUUUGACAAGAGAGAGAGAGAGAGAAGAGGGAGAGCAGUCGAUCGAUCGGCAUUCUUGCGAGAUUUCUCUCGUCUCCUCCUCCAGCUCUCGAAAUGGCGAGCAGAUCCGCGUUCUUGAUCGUGGCGGCGGUGGUAGCCGUGGCCUCUAUGGCCGACAUUGCCAUGGCGCAGGCGCCCAGCCCCGCUCCAGAGGCCGGCGCCGGCACGGCAUUGGCGAUUCCAGUGCUGGCCGCGGGAUUCCUGGCAGCGCUCGCCAGUUUCUUCCUUUGAUUGGCGCGGAUCGAGCAUGAGCGGCAGCAGCAUUCUUUUUUCUCCCCUUUUUACUUCCUCUUUUCUUCUUCUUCCUCUCUCUCUCUCUCUCUGAUUUCGUAUAACGGAUGGGUCUGCUGGAGAAAUUUUGGGAUCUUUUGUAUCAUACUAUAGCACUACAGGGGCGGCUUCUUCCUCUUCCUCUCUUUUGGUUCUACACUAUCUCUCGUUGGUUCUUGUGGGUGGUGGAUUUGGAAUAGCGGUAGCAGAGUGAUGGAUGGGGAUGGGGGGAGCUGUGGGUUUUCUUCGGCCGACCUUGUUUCGGGGUGUUCUAUUUUGGAUUCUUUGUUUUGAAAUAAGGAACGAUGGUAUUGCUAGAGCACUUAGUACAGACACACCACGACUAGCCUAGAAAACACUCUGUACAGAUUUCCCAUGAAUAUACCAUCAUCUUGCAUUCUACUUCCAAGAAAGCCUCUGGAUUUCGAUUUCUCCUCUUCGUCGCCUGGGGCUGAAACGAUCGAAAGGGGAGAAUUGUUGAUCUUGUUUGGCUCACUCGAGUCUCUUGGUUGCUCCUGGGGAUCUGGAGAGGACGACAAGGAAGAAAACAAAAGAGUUGGUAUAUGGUAUAUGGUGUAUGGUAUAUUGCUUGCUUGGUUGCUUGGGAGAAUGGAGGCGGAGGCCCACCAGUGUGAGAGACAGCUCGAAUGUGUGCUGUGAAAAGUUGUGGGUGUUGUCGUACGUGAGGGAUUUCUGGACAUGGCACAUGCAAGCGCUGGCUGGAAUUGGGUACGAACGCCCGGGCAUAUACCAGAAUGUUCCAUUUAUUCCAUUUCUCAUGAGGCACGGGCGACGCACGCAAGACUGCCAAAACUCUCAGUUGUCUCUUGUGUUCUCCAUACAAAAAACUAUGCUGCCAAAAAUGAGAGUAGAAAAGAUCUCUCCGAGGUGAUCGUAGACAAGAGCUGGAUUGAACCAUCCAAAUCUAAACAAAGAGCUCACUCGGUCUGGAAAAACGAGGAAGAAAUCUAUGCACGACAUACCUCCACAUUGCCGUGUAUACCAGCAAAGUCGUCACAUACGCCGCCAUGCCAUUGGAUUUGUUUUCGCUAAAUGAGAGGUUAUAUAAAAAUAAAAGUAAAGCAUAUAUUAUAUUAUUAUUACCUUUAUAUUUAUUAUUAUUAUUAUUAUUAGCUAUUCUACAUCCUUCCAAGGCAUAAUCAUUUGAGAUUUUGUAUUUGCAUAAAAUUGGAUAAUUUAUUUGGGACUUAACUUAAUCUAUCCAUUCUUGUAUAUAAAAAGAGGUUUAAACCCAACUAAUAUCAUGUCUUAAGCACUCACAUUGGCAGAAAUGACAAUUUGUCCCUAGAGGGUAAAGCUUUUUAAUAAUGUUUUGCUUUAGAGUUCAAGAUUGUGUUUUUUCCUUUUAUUCUUUUAUUCUCUUUUAGAAGAUCUAGAAUUCUAGUUAUCACUAUACUUAGACUUGUUCUUCUUUUUAUUUUCAUUACAUUCCCUUCUUCCACUAUACCAUGUUAUUAUCAAUCAAAGAGUAUAUCAUUUAAGCCUAUUGAUGUUGUUAUAUUGAAUCAAGCUUUUGGUGAUUAGUUUUGAUGUUAAGUAUUUAUAUGUUUCAAAGGUUAUAUUACUUUGGCUAGAGUUUCAAGUUGAGUGCAUAUCAAUAGUUAUGAGUGCUAUUGAGAAUCUCUUUUUUACUAUUAUUGCUAAAAAAUUUAUAUGUUCCUUUGAGAGUGUGGAUGUUUUUUUUUAAUUUUCUUAUCUCAAAUGUUAAGUUAUGUGUUAAGGAGGUUGAGUGGCAUGAAUAUUUUGCUUAUGUUGUGAUGGCUAAAGUAUUUUAUAGGGUUGUAAAGGUUUCCAAAUGUAUAAUAGGGAUAGUGAGUAAGUUGAGUAUAGUUGACCAACCUGAAGCAUAGUUUAGCUCCCACUUGUGUGCUUAUCCCUAUUUUGUAUCCAGUUUGAGUCUAAGCCCAACUUUCACAUCAUAUUAACUAGUAGAGUACUUAUAUUUUUGCAUUAGGCCACCAGUAUGCUAAAAUAGUGCCAAAUUCCAUUUGGCUUUGUUUUACGUGUUGGUUUUGGCAUUGGGAUGUUGGAUGCUCUAGGAUUAUUCCAAAUCAUUCCAUACUCCUAUUACUUCACUCCUUGAGUUCUACACUUAAGAGUCAUUUCAUGUUCUAGUACUUUUGGUCUUUGAGCUGUAUAUUCAAGAGUUGCUCUAUGCUCCAAUGCUUUUGCUUCUUGACUCUAUGCUUAGGAGUUUGGCUCCACUCCUUCACUUAGUGGCCCAAAUCCCUGAAACUUGGGUUGUGCUCCUCUAUCUUUGGACAUUUGGCAUGUGGCACGUGGCAUAUGAAGGGUUUAGGUUCUGCUUCAUAGUUAUCCUAUAGUAAAUCACUAUAGGAUAAAGGGUAAAAACCACAUGCUCUACAAUUGUGAUAUAUUUUAAUCUCUUUCCAUAAUUAUAUAUAUUGCACCCACUAAUUAACAUGGUAUGAAGAUUAAACUUAGACUCAAUCCAAAUGUAGAGAAAAGCCAAGACACACUCAGUGCAUGUUUGGCAUACCUACUAUUUUCAUUUUACAUUUGCUAUACCCCACUCCUAUAUAAAAGCAAGUUAGUUUCUUGGACAAACUUAAAAACUUACUAAAUAUAGAGUGAUAUUAGAUUAUGAAUUUGCAUUUCCAUUGUGUUUGGGAUAAUGUCUACAUUUUGUAGCUAGUAUAUCUAGACACUUUUCAAUAACACUAAAAUGGGACCAAUAUAAUGAGAGUGAUUAAUAGAUUGUGAGACACAAAAUCCCUAAGCCCUAAAGACAAGCUGAAAGGGUGCCACGUGGUAGUGGCUAAGGCAAAAGUUAAAUGAGCACAACACAUUUAAACUAAAACCUCCGAUUCAAAAAGUCAAGAGUAGGGGUGGAACUCUCAACGAUGUGCUCGAGGAACAAACACAAAGAAAAUAGUAAGUGAAUCUCUAGGAAAGGGACACAAAAGAACCAACAAACAACAUGUGGAAGUGCUAAGAUGGAGUCCGAGAUGGAGUCCGAGAUGAAGUUCGAGAUGGAGUCCGAGAUGGACCUGAGAUGGAGUUUGAGAUGGACUUUAGAUGGAGUUUAAGAUGGAAUUCAAAAUGGAUCUGAGAUGGAGUCUAAGAUGGACUCGAGAUGGAGUCUGAGAUGGACCCGAGACCGAGACCGAGACCAAGGCCGAAACCGAAACUAAGUCCGAAUCCGAAUCCUAAUACAGGCUGUUGGGUGAAAGCCCAAAGCAAUCAUCCCCCGGGGCCGGGGGGGGGGGGGGGCUGCAAGGGGUUCCAAAAGUAUAAUAGAGAGAGUGUAAUGGAGCCAAUUUUGCCCAAGAAGGUUGUACCCCAGGUGUUGGGUGUUGGGUGGUGAGAUAACCAUUGGGAAGUCCAAGGCUAGAGUGAAUAUAGAUUGACAAGCAGACUAGCUUGGUGAAGUGUUCAAGAGCCGACUCUAGUUCCCUUGGGAGAUCGAAUGUUCGAUGUUCCCAGUCCAAGCAUGGGUGACACUACCUACUUGGAUACCUAGCAUGGCUCAACGGAACCUCACUCUAAGCCCAUGGCUAGAGCACCCAAAAGCGGAAGGUGGGGAGAAUACCUAUGAGGUUUGCAUAGGGCCACGGUGUUCCGAAAUGUUAUCCCAAAGUCUCGGACUAUGGAAAGGAAAAGGAGUAGUCCUCUGGUGUAGUGACCAAGGAUACGGUUACAUGGUGAGUGGGACUUGGUGGGCGGGCCUAUGCCCCUUGACCCAGUGGCAGUGGUUGCAAAUUGUAAGUGAUUAAUUUUUCCAUUCUACUUUAGUCACUUAACCACCUCUCCAACCACAAGGAGGAGUCUCUUUCACAACCUCCAUAAGUCCAAUUCAGGACUUGGGGCUUGCUAACCCCGAGAAUUGCAUCCAUGCCACUCAACCUUUGCACUUGGUCCAAGUGCUCCACAUGUCCGAUCCCAUGACUGACACCCCAAGGUACCACCGACAUAUCAGCCCGUUACGCUAGGCCACGCCCAUUCACCUUGGUCACAUCGGUGGUCUAACACUACCUGCAUUGCAAUCCCGUCUCUCCAAAACUGGGCCAUCCGUCCAUGGGUGGUCAUCCCAGAUCCACUCCUUGGCAUCCUUAGGAUGCCUGUAGACAUGGGGAAUAGCCUUCCCCAAUAUCUCCGUUCCGGUCCCCACCAAGUCCCUUUCUGUCCUUAGUCGUGUUCGCCAACACUGCCACUGGAUCAAGGCCCACGAGCCCGACAGCUAAGUCCAUUGGCAUCUGGGACUACCUCACUGUGCGAUUGUGUCCUUGGUCACCACACCAGAGGCUUAUUCCUUUUCCUUUCCACAGUCUGGGACUUUGGGACAACAUUUCGGAACACCGUGGCCCUAUGUAGGGCUCAUGGGUACUCCCCCACCUUCUGCCUUUAGGUGCUCUAGCCAUGGGCUUAGAGCGAGGUUCCGUUGAGCCACGCCAGGUAUCCAAGUAGGUAGUGCCACCCACACUUGGAUUGGGAGCAUCGGCUAGUCGAUCUCCCGGGGGAACUAGAGCCGGCUCUUGAACACUUCACCAAGCUGCCCCGCUUGUCGGUCUGUGUUCACUCUAGUUUUGGACUUCCCAGUGAGCAACUCAUCACCCAACACUGGGUAAAACCUUCCUAGGCCAAACUAGCCUUUCCUGGCCAAACUGCUUCCACUGCAGUCCUCCCCCUUACUAUACUUUUGGAGCUCACCAAAACCCCCAGGGUCUGAGAGACGAAUGCUUUGGGCUUUCACCCUCUCAGACUCGAACUCGGACUCGGACUCGGACUCAGACUCAGACUCAGACUCGGGCUCAGGCUUGGGCUCGAGCUCGGUCUCGGCCUCAGCCUUGGUCUCGGUCUCGGUCCCGGUCUCGGUCUCGACUUCGGACUCCAUCUCCCAUCUCAGACUUCAUCUCGGACUCCAUCUCAGGUCCAUCUCGGACUCCACCUCGGACUCUGUCUCAGAUCCAUCUCGGACUCUGUCUCAGAUCCAUCUCGGACUCCAUCUCAAAC
This 43380-nucleotide long non-coding RNA is filed under the name Selaginella moellendorffii. Its description in RNAcentral is "long non-coding RNA (SMOE_LNC001910)". Lineage: Eukaryota; Viridiplantae; Streptophyta; Lycopodiopsida; Selaginellales; Selaginellaceae. The record is from RNAcentral.